UAAGUUAUUGUGAAUUUUUGUAAUCUACGAUAAAGGUUUUACUUCCAAACAUACGUUUGAGAAUAUAUCUUAGUUGCUCAGGGGUGAAGCACUUCCCCUUAAUCCACCUUUGGUUUUUCAAAUCUAUUCUUAUUUUACAAGAAGGGAUCAAAAGGACACUUGGAUGUGAUAUUUGCAUGGUCAUAUAUUAAUCUAUUCUGUUUAUAAUCAUAGUUAGUAAGUAUAUUUCUAGGGGAUUGGGGAGACGAUUCGACUAUAGUUUAAUAGUCCCAGAAUAUUUGCUGUAAUUUCUGUUCAGUUCUGAUAUAUGUCUAAAAUUAAAUUACCGAAUCUUCAUGAAUGUGAAAUGGACUGAAAGGCAAACAAUGUUUCAUGUGACCUCGAACAUCAGAUUUUCAGGACUUAUAUUAUUUAUUUUUAUUUUGUUAUUUUUGCCUACAGAAAAAAUCG
This 450-nucleotide long non-coding RNA is filed under the name Mytilus galloprovincialis (Mediterranean mussel). Lineage: Eukaryota; Metazoa; Mollusca; Bivalvia; Mytilida; Mytilidae. The record is from RNAcentral.